CCCGCUCAGGCCUCAGCCAGCACAGAGAGGGGCUCCCACGGUGCAGCUGCGGGCUGAAGGGCUCCUCAAGCGCGGCCAGAGUGGGCUGAGGCCGAGGAGGCGCCGAGAGCCAGCGAGGGAUGCCAGCAAGCUGUCACCUCUCAGAAAUACAGGAAGAACAUCAAUAAUGUUCGAAGUUAUAAAUUGCAGAGGUCAGAGGUCAGAAAACAAGGUGUCUGCAGGACCAACCUCUCCUCUGGAUGCUC
RNAcentral lists this long non-coding RNA (245 nucleotides) under Pan troglodytes (chimpanzee). RNAcentral's name for it is "long non-coding RNA NONPTRT014053". The record is from RNAcentral. Lineage: Eukaryota; Metazoa; Chordata; Mammalia; Primates; Hominidae.